RNAcentral lists this transfer RNA (73 nucleotides) under Candidatus Palibaumannia cicadellinicola. RNAcentral's name for it is "Candidatus Baumannia cicadellinicola tRNA". It matches the Rfam family "tRNA". Rfam says of the family: Transfer RNA (tRNA) molecules are approximately 80 nucleotides in length. Their secondary structure includes four short double-helical elements and three loops (D, anti-codon, and T loops). Further hydrogen bonds mediate the characteristic L-shaped molecular structure. tRNAs have two regions of fundamental functional importance: the anti-codon, which is responsible for specific mRNA codon recognition, and the 3' end, to which the tRNAs corresponding amino acid is attached (by aminoacyl-tRNA synthetases). tRNAs cope with the degeneracy of the genetic code in two manners: having more than one tRNA (with a specific anti-codon) for a particular amino acid; and 'wobble' base-pairing, i.e. permitting non-standard base-pairing at the 3rd anti-codon position. The record is from Rfam by way of RNAcentral. Lineage: Bacteria; Pseudomonadati; Pseudomonadota; Gammaproteobacteria.
GGGGCUAUAGCUCAGCUGGAAGAGCGCCUGCUUUGCACGCAGGAGGUCAGCGGUUCAAUCCCGCUUAGCUCCA